Molecule: long non-coding RNA, 3283 nt
Organism: Setaria italica (foxtail millet)
Lineage: Eukaryota; Viridiplantae; Streptophyta; Magnoliopsida; Poales; Poaceae
Exons: 3
Source: RefSeq, a predicted model, not a curated record
AUUAGCAGAGCGGCAGAGAUAGUGCCGACCGGGAAGAACUUUGGCGGAACCGUGAAGGACCUCGCUCAUUUUGUAGCUGAUUGUCGUUGGCUUCGAAACGGCGAAGAGCUCAUUGAAGAUAGCCAGCGCAUCUGCCAAUCUAGUUGCAGCCUCCCGAUCGUCCUGUGACUUGGCGUACGCUGCUGCCGUACGGGCGACCGCCUUGGCGGGGUCGAUGAAGAUGCUGCCGCUGCCGCGUAGCUCGUCAACGAGAGCACGGGCAUCAGCGGCCAACUCCUCGGCGACAGACGCGUCCUCACGUGUCGGCAAAACUGGUCCGUUCUUGCUGUCAGAAACCCCCUUCUUUCUCUCUCCACCGGAAAGGCUCGCCGUGGCGGCCAAAUCCUUGCCGCGCGACAGGUCUUGCAGGUUCUUUGAUUUUCUGAAUUUGCUUUCUUGGUCGCCGCCCCCCUCCGAGUUGGAGUCCUUGAGGAGAGGCGUCUCCGACAUUGUUUCUUCGGUUCGAAAGAACCGGUGGUCUCGGUAGAGAUUGGAAUGAUUAGUGUGACGAGGAGGGAGAGGGGAAGGGGAGGGGAGAGCCAGCAGAAGGGUGGGUAUUUAUUUCCGAGAGGAGGUAGGGGAGGGGAAGCAUGGAGGAGGAGGCCGCCGGCCAGGAUUCGGCUGGGGACCGCCGCGGGAGUUGCCGUUGGGGAUUCAGUUAUCAAAAUAACCGUCGAGGGGGAGAGAAGUGGUGGGAGAAGCGGAAGACGGGAAGAGCGGGGUGCGGGGCUGAGCAGCUGGUGUGUUGGGCCAAGGCCCAGCGUCCAUCGGAUUCCGAGGCUUCUUUGCGGAAGAGGGGUGGGGCGGGUAGCGAUUGGAUUUGGAGGAGGCGGCGGCGUGCGGAAGGCGAGGAUGCGGCGGCGGGGGUCAACGGAAGGCCUAAUCAAAGAUGGUCGGGAGACCCGGUUACUAAAAUCUUAUUGGAAAAGGAGCAAUGGAUGAUGGAAUGUUCAAACACACAUCAGGGAGAUAUUGUAGAGAUCCUGAUGACAAAGAAUUCAGUAACCAUAAUCAUGCGCUGGUGCUCCAGCAGACUGUAAAAUUUUAUCAGGACAUUAUGUUGGAUGGGAUGCUAGCUUGUGCGCCACGGCAUCAAGAAGGAAGUUUGGUAGGGGCUCCCCAUUGUGCCUUCUUCCUGGCAGUGUUGGCAUAUUGACCAGUGGGAAGAAUGUCAGAGAUCAAUUGUCGCAGCAGCUGUAACCUGAACUGUUCUCUUAUUCUGUAAAUGAAAUAGUACUUUGCAAAUUCUGAUGAGUCUGAACACUCUACAAGAUCAUUUUAGCCUAGCAUUGUCAGUGCAAGCUCAUUAACAAACAACAGCUCAUAGAGCGUCACCAAGGUUUGGAGGCAUAGAAACUAGCAGACACAUGAACAGACUCCUGCACAAAUAUUUGGGGACAUCAAACGCUUUCAUCAGUCAGAGUUUACAAAGUACUGAUUUGUCAUACACAGACGCAAUCCUGCUUCUGGAUGGCUUUGGAACUCUCUUGUUGGCUGAAACACAGGGUGUUCUUCUGGCUGCUACUGAAUGAUCGGCUCAACACUCUACUUCAGAGAAAAGAAAUGGAUUUGCCAUCUUAUACAUGUGAAUAUGUGAUCCCUGCCUCUGGCAAACAGAAGAGACAAUUGGCAUUGUCACACCUACAGCCUGCAGGCCUCAACUUUGGAAAAACACCAGACAGUGGAUUGGCAGAUGUACAAAGAAGAAGCCAGGAGAGAACAUAUCACCAUCUUAUGAGGCGUUUCAUCCUCAUGCUCACAGCAUUCAUAUUACCCCAUUAAUGUUUGAGAAUACUGCCCACAUGGUACUCGAGGAUAUGCCUAUUGUGGACGAUGCGGCAGUUUGUGCUAAGAAUGUUGCAUUCAGUGCUCUGACAGUGGUGAGGGAUGCUGUGCAUGGGUUGUUCGAUUGAUUGUCCAGCCAAGCGGUGAUUUGGGAUGAAGAAUUGUUGCAUAGCCUUGACCCACAUGACGGUUUUCUGCAGCAAUUAGCUCAAGGUGGAGAGAAUGUAUGCGAUGGUGAGAGGAAGUCAGCUGCUGAUCUGUUUGUCAAUGACACUCAUGGUAGCGGUGCUCCCUUCUCAUGAAUCUUGGCAUUGAUUCCAAUGAAGUGCCUCCUAAGAUGGUGAUAUGGGAUCAGGAAUAUGUGCAAACUAUCAAGAUUGGUUCAGAAAUUAUCAGAAGUGAAAUUUACUCUAUAUUCUCCUGUCCUGAAGCAGGGUUGUUCAGAAAUUAUCAGGCUGAGAAGUUGUUCAAUACCGCAGGGUUGCUGUUGUUUGUGUUGGUUGUGAAUUCAAGUAAAAUGAAAAUGUGCUCACUUUGUUUGGCAUAUAGUUUCAGUACAUUCUCAAGGUCAGUUUAAUCAAUGCAGAAAUCCACCUGGGUGCUUUGUACUUGUGCAAGAGAUGGAAUUCACAAGCAUUCAGUGCUAUAUACAAGCAAUCAGGAAAUAAAUGUUUCUUUGGUGGAGAAGGACCGUGGCCUGGUUUCUCCACUUCUUGAUAUCAAGGAAGUUCUUCAAUUGCCAUUUAAAGUCAGAAAGCUCCUCAUGCAAGCAACAAUUUGCUCAGUACUAUAUUUUCAGAAAGAAAUGUCAAUAGGCUGCCUAUACAAGCUCCCACAUCAACAAGCUUAGUCCAACAGAACAUAUCCAAGUUACAGCUUCAGUCAGUGGUCGCGGAACAUGGUCAGGCAAACACGGAGCUGCCACGGGUGUCAAAGCUCGCCAUGGACUAAGUGCUGAAUUGCCAUUUGUCAGAGAGAUACGCCCAGGAAUUUGCAGACCAUUUGGGGGCGACCGAUUGAAUGGCCUCCGCUAUGGCAAGCAUUUCCAAAAUUAACAUUGGUUGGGAGGCUCUUUUAUUAUAACAAGAACUCCAGAAUUGCCAUUGAUGAUUGGUAGGUUACUGGCUUUAAGUUAUUAUUAGUUUUCAGGGUGGAGGCCACAGGGAAGGCGCUGCUGGAGGCGGACUGGAGGUCCGGCCAGUCGGCCACUCUCCUGCUGUAAGUCGUAUAUGCAGUGGCUGCAGCACUUUCAGCUUUGUGGAAGAACCGGUUCUUUGGUGAUCCCUUUCCCUUGUAACCGCGUUUGAGCUGUAUCUUCUUGUUAAUGUAUAUUUCAGCGUGUCGUGUUUUGUGGAUAAAAGAGUCGAGCAAAUACAAGUCCAUGACUAGGCGCAGGCAUGUGCUGGGUUCUGUAUCUUCUUGUUAAUGUACCGUAUUUCAGCUUGUUCUUUUCUACUGU